GACGAACGCUGGCGGCGUGCCUAAUACAUGCAAGUCGAGCGGACAGACGGGAGCUUGCUCCCUGAUGUUAGCGGCGGACGGGUGAGUAACACGUGGGUAACCUGCCUGUAAGACUGGGAUAACUCCGGGAAACCGGGGCUAAUACCGGAUGGUUGUCUGAACCGCAUGGUUCAGACAUAAAAGGUGGCUUCGUCUACCACUUACAGAUGGACCCGCGGCGCAUUAGCUAGUUGGUGAGGUAACGGCUCACCAAGGCAACGAUGCGUAGCCGACCUGAGAGGGUGGGCGGCCACACUGGGACUGAGACACGGCCCAGAGUCCAACGGGAGGCAGCAGUAGGGAAUCUUCCGGAAUGGACGAAAGUCUGACGGAGCAACGCCGCGGGAGUGAUGAAGGUUUUCGGAUCGUAAAGCUCUGUUGUUAGGGAAGAACAAGUGCCGUUCAAAGAGGGCGGCACCUUGACGGUACCUAACCAGAAAGCCACGGCUAACUACGUG
Molecule: ribosomal RNA, 497 nt
Filed under: uncultured bacterium
Lineage: Bacteria
Description: partial 16S ribosomal RNA
Rfam family: Bacterial small subunit ribosomal RNA
Source: RNAcentral